AUCCAAUGGUGAGGGCAAGCCAAUAGGUACACUUGGAAGUGCUCCUAUGCUUCAGGGAUUGACUCAUCUGACGCCUGCUGGAAGUUGGAAAUCCUUCCACGAAGUGC
RNAcentral lists this small nucleolar RNA (107 nucleotides) under Dichanthelium oligosanthes. RNAcentral's name for it is "Plant small nucleolar RNA R71". It matches the Rfam family "Plant small nucleolar RNA R71". Rfam says of the family: R71 is a member of the C/D box family of snoRNAs containing the C (UGAUGA) and D (CUGA) box motifs. Multiple nearly identical copies of this snoRNA have been identified in Arabidopsis, and it is thought to function as a 2'-O-ribose methylation guide for 18S ribosomal RNA. Lineage: Eukaryota; Viridiplantae; Streptophyta; Magnoliopsida; Poales; Poaceae. The record is from Rfam by way of RNAcentral.